GUGCUGCUUAUGUCGUCCUCAGGCUGAAGAAUUACAUUCAGGUGUUACACACCAGUUUUGAAUAAAUAGGAGAGCAUAGUGAGAAAGAACUGUAAAGUAUCUGGUAUUCACUCUUCUCUGUUUUCUGCUUCUUGAGUUUUUUUAUUCUUCCCCCAUGCUUUAUUCUGUUGUGAGGCUGAAUUGUAUGCCUGAAGUCUGAGCAGGUGAAGAGGAGUCCUGAAGGCUAAAUUCCUGUGCCUUGGGGAGCCUGCAACCCCUUCAGGAUGUACUGACAUAACUUCCAGUUGUGUUGAUGAUGGAGAUCGUGCAUACUUUGGAUUUUGUAGUCCCAAAAAGGCAUCCAUUCUAAAAGCACCUUAUGGGAGGAGCGGAACAAAACAUAUCCUGGAGAGACUUGAGGAGAAAACAAGUCAAAUUUGAAGAUGCUGUGUCCUCAACAUUGUGAUUUACACAUAUUAACUUAAUAUUAACAUAUUAAGGUAUCAGGUCUAACAUGUAAAUGUGGGAAAGGCUCAGACUGAAUUGUGCUGGACUGGCAUAUAUAUAUAUAUAUAUCUGGGUACCCAUGCUGGUAAAACAGUCAUGAAGAAUAUUGGGAGCAUUUGACUGCAAAGGGACUGCUUGAAAAUGUCAGAUUACCAAAUCUGAUGGCCAUACCUUUAAGGCCAUCUAGAUUAUCUUCUUACAUGAAAAGGAUUUCCUAAUUAUUUUUGCUUCAAGUCCAAGAGAAUUAAAUAAUACUCAGUACCUGCUAGUGCUAAAAACCAGUAUGUAAUUUGUCACACAUACCUCGGUGAAAUAGCCAGGAAGUUUAAAAGGCUUAGAAUAAAC
RNAcentral lists this long non-coding RNA (831 nucleotides) under Cyanistes caeruleus (blue tit). RNAcentral describes it as "lncRNA (ENSCCEG00000012219.1)". The record is from RNAcentral. Lineage: Eukaryota; Metazoa; Chordata; Aves; Passeriformes; Paridae.